Molecule: ribosomal RNA, 741 nt
Filed under: uncultured Bacteroidales bacterium
Lineage: Bacteria; Pseudomonadati; Bacteroidota; Bacteroidia; Bacteroidales
Description: bacterial SSU rRNA
Rfam family: Bacterial small subunit ribosomal RNA
Source: RNAcentral
GAUGAACGCUAGCUACAGGCUUAACACAUGCAAGUCGAGGGGCAUCAGUUUGGUUUGCUUGCAAACCAAAGCUGGCGACCGGCGCACGGGUGAGUAACACGUAUCCAACCUACCUCAUACUCGGGGAUAGCCUUUCGAAAGAAAGAUUAAUAUCCGAUAGCAUAUAUUUCCCGCAUGGGUUUUAUAUUAAAGAAAUUCGGUAUGAGAUGGGGAUGCGUUCCAUUAGUUUGUUGGGGGGGUAACGGCCCACCAAGACUACGAUGGAUAGGGGUUCUGAGGGGAAGGUCCCCCACAUUGGAACUGAGACACGGUCCAAACUCNUACGGGAGGCAGCAGUGAGGAAUAUUGGUCAAUGGACGCGAGUCUGAACCAGCCAAGUAGCGUGAAGGAUGACUGCCCUAUGGGUUGUAAACUUCUUUUAUAUGGGAAUAAAGUGGUCCACGUGUGGACUUUUGUAUGUACCAUAUGAAUAAGGAUCGGCUAACUCCGUGCCAGCAGCCGCGGUAAUACGGAGGAUCCGAGCGUUAUCCGGAUUUAUUGGGUUUAAAGGGAGCGUAGGCGGAUUGUUAAGUCAGUUGUGAAAGUUUGCGGCUCAACCGUAAAAUUGCAGUUGAUACUGGCAGUCUUGAGUGCAGUAGAGGUGGGCGGAAUUCGUGGUGUAGCGGUGAAAUGCUUAGAUAUCACGAAGAACUCCGAUUGCGAAGGCAGCUCACUGGAGUGUAACUGACGCUGAUGCUCGAA